RNAcentral lists this ribosomal RNA (253 nucleotides) under uncultured bacterium. RNAcentral's name for it is "partial 16S ribosomal RNA". It matches the Rfam family "Bacterial small subunit ribosomal RNA", at positions 524 to 776 of the family's 1533-position model. The record is from RNAcentral.
UACGUAGGGGGCAAGCGUUGUCCGGAUUUAUUGGGCGUAAAGCGCGCGUAGGCGGCAAGGUGUGUCGUGCGUGAAAUCUCUCGGCUUAACUGGGAGGGGCCGUGCGAAACUGCCUGGCUUGAGGUCGGAAGGGGAAAGUGGAAUUCCGGGUGUAGUGGUGGAAUACGUAGAUAUCCGGAGGAACACCAGCGGCGAAGGCGGCUUUCUGGUCCGAUACUGACGCUGAGGUGCGAAAGCGUGGGGAGCGAUCCGG